RNAcentral lists this transfer RNA (72 nucleotides) under Candidatus Liptonbacteria bacterium. RNAcentral describes it as "tRNA-Arg". It matches the Rfam family "tRNA". From Rfam's summary of the family: Transfer RNA (tRNA) molecules are approximately 80 nucleotides in length. Their secondary structure includes four short double-helical elements and three loops (D, anti-codon, and T loops). The record is from RNAcentral. Lineage: Bacteria; Candidatus Liptoniibacteriota.
GGGCCUGUAGUUUAUGUGGUAAAAUCUCAUCUUCGACACAUGAAGAACCGGGUGCAAAUCCCGGCAAGUCCG